RNAcentral lists this long non-coding RNA (298 nucleotides) under Hordeum vulgare. RNAcentral's name for it is "long non-coding RNA (HVUL_LNC011771)". Lineage: Eukaryota; Viridiplantae; Streptophyta; Magnoliopsida; Poales; Poaceae. The record is from RNAcentral.
UGGGUAUAAGCCUCACAGUAGAUGUGUAGGGUACGAAAAGGAUGGGCAGAGCCUUAGCUACGGCGAGGUUGUAUGAGUUCAGGCCCCUCUGCGGUGGAGGUAAUAGCCCUACGUCUCAGUGCUCAGGGAGCUUGUUGUCGAGUGGAAAUAUGGAAUACAAUGAGUUGCUAACCCCUCUACCAGCGGGGGAGGGUGGCUUAUAUAGAAUGCGCUGCCCUCCACAACGGUUCCGGUACAGGGGUGGAGUAGUGGCGAUUGAAUGCGUACGUUAUAGGUAACCUGCGCCCUAAAUGCUAAU